Molecule: non-coding RNA, 1834 nt
Organism: Arachis ipaensis
Lineage: Eukaryota; Viridiplantae; Streptophyta; Magnoliopsida; Fabales; Fabaceae
Source: RefSeq, a predicted model, not a curated record
CAAUUAAAUUUGUCAAUCAAUUACUAUUGGAUUGGAAUUCAGCUAAAUGUUUGAGCAAGUGAUAUAUAUCAGAUGUAUGUGUCGAGGAAAAGAAAAAAGCAAAACUGAUACUGAUAUUAUUGAAUAUGUGCGAUGGGGCUUUUGUGUUGAAAUAAUUUGGAAUUGACAUUAUUUCCUCUUGAAAGUAUGGAAUAUUACGGAAGAAAUUAUUUACUUUCUAUUUACUUUGUAUUUUUAAUUCAUAUUUGCUUUACAAAAUAGAUGUUUUAUCUAUUUUAUUGAAACAAUUUUGCAGUGAAAGUUGGAAAGAGAAUUUGUUUUUUAUGGCUGUUGUGCAAAUACUUUUGUAGAACCUGAUGAAAAAGAAAUGGUUGAUAGAGGACAAAUAUGGUUCUGAGAUUGCUUAAGGAUAUUUCUUACUUGCACUUUAUGAUUAACAAAAAAGAUAUUUUGCAUAAUUUAUGAUUUGAAAUCAUCUACUCAUUUUAUUACAUGUAACUUUUGUGCAUUAAAUUACUACAAAAACCUCAAAAGUAGAUGUAAUGAUACAAGUUAUCUUUUUAUGUCAUUUUAAGACAUGAUCUAAACAUAUGGUGCUAACCUUUGCUCUUUUAUAUUUUUUUUGGCAAUGAUAAAACAGUUGUUUUCAGUAGAUGAAGGAUUUGGUUACUCUAAAUAGAUUCAAUUUGAUGCUCCAGGUGUUCAAACAAAAGUAUUAAAGAGCAUCAUGUGUUUUGGCUUUCUUUUGAUUUUUAUUUGCCUCCAAAUGUUUAAAUUGGUAUUUGAAAUGUAUCAAGGAUGAUUUUGAUGCCUGAGCUCUUAUUAGAAGAAUAUUUGAAAAGAUGAUUGCUUAACAUAGUUCAUUUCUUUUUAUGACCAUGGUAUCCCGAUUGAGCAAAUCCAUGCUGUUAUUGCUUUUAGUAGUUAAUACCUUCCACGGGGAAAGGAACUGCAAGUGUGAAGUUUUUAGAAUAACUUUGGUAUUUGCUAAAUUUAUGUUUUAGUAGUUAUAACUUUUUUUUGUUUGGUAUUGUCUCUUGCAGUUUUGGUAUUUGUUGUUGCCUUGGUCUGAUCUUUGAUGUUUUUGUUUUGAAUGUGAGACCCGAUCGUUACUUUAUUUUUCAGUAGUUACAACUAUAUGUCUUACUAAUCCAAAAAUAAAAACUUGCGAAAGCAAGCAUUAAAUUCAUCCUUCCGUGGUUACAUGCAAAUAUGUGCUAAUAAGUUUUAUCGUUUCAUGGUUUUUGGAAGUUAUUGCAGUGCUGGAUGUCUUCCUGCCUCCUACUUGGAGUCUUGGAGAAAGAGUUCUGGAAAGAAAUUGCUUGCGAAAAAAUGGAAACAGUUCAAUAUGCAUGUGAUGUUGAUGCAGUGCCUUCUCAUCUCCUUCUGAUCAGCUUGGUAGCAGUAAUUGGAAUUUGAAGGGAGUAACUGAACCCAUGUUGUACAUUAGAAUGCUGUUUAGUAUGUUUGCUUGGAAUGUUGAGGAUCAUUAUUUGUACAGAAUUAAUUAUCAUCACUGUGGGGCAUCAAAAUGAUAUUCCAGGUCAUGCAGCAUUGGACUUUGAAAGGGUGGUGAGAGAACAUGUGUAUGUACUAAUGAUAUUUUGUCAAGUGAUGGGGAAGAUGGAGCCUUUGAUGUUUUCUUGGGGAAAACAACUCUAUUUUCGCCAAAUAGUGUGCUGGAACAUGAAGUCCCCGUUUACAAGGCUGUUCAAAAGCUAAGGGAGUUUGUGAUUACCUUCGCUAAGGCAGACCAUGCUGGAUUCAGUCAUGGUUAGAUUUGCUCAUUCCCAUACACUUCAUUUUCAAGAAUAUUAUGCCCUGCUACCUUUCC